Molecule: long non-coding RNA, 2063 nt
Organism: Oreochromis aureus
Lineage: Eukaryota; Metazoa; Chordata; Actinopteri; Cichliformes; Cichlidae
Source: Ensembl
GCAAAUCGAUCAAACUUUUCUACAGCACGUUAUACCACUCCGGGUCGAGAGGAGCGAUAUAGCAUGGACCGGUUGAAUGACUAUGUCGGAUCGAAGCAUGACCGAAAGCGUGGCAGGGAUUUUCCCUUUGAACUUCUUCCUGUUCCAUGAUUAACCUCCAACUGUUAAAUGUUUCCUCAAUAUUGCUCUAUUUAUUCUGCACAGAGCGUUUCCGGUGUGGCUCAUGCAAAAGAGAAUUGCAACAACACAGCAUGUUUCUCUUCUCCCUUUCACACAGUAAGUAUGUCUGUUGUAGACUGCGCUUUAUAAAUGUCUCUUUGAUUAUUCAAUCAGUCUUUGAAAACUUUAUCGUCAUCACCAGCAUGCUUUGUACCUCAGGCUCAUCAGAGACAAUCGUAUCCAGUGGUGUGGUGGCCAUGGAUUGAGCCAGCCCUGCAAACCCUGUGGAUGGACGAUGCAGUGGACAGUGGGAGGAAGCAUCCUGAAGCUCUCUUUGCAGACCACUGUGUGUGAUUCUCCACUCGCCGACCAGAAAAGACAAACGGCAGGUCUCAGUUGCAGCACCUCAUCCAUCCAUGUCUGAUCUUGCACCGGCAGAUUCAGCAACACAGCCAGAGACUUCCUGUAAUCUAUUACAGUUGUUAAAAAAAAAACGGUCCAGGAACAGGUCACUCAGGUUGAUCCUGUAUAAACAACUGAUAUUGUUUUUCCUUCUUUAAAUAUUGUUGGCUUAUUAGAAAUAUUCUUGUUCAAUUGUUGUUGUUAUUUACUUUAUUGCCAUCAAAUAAAUAUCCAUGUAAAAUUGUCCAAAGUUAGCAUUAUGUUCAUACAUGUUAAAAAUACCUGAAAAUAAAAUGAGUUCAGUGACAGUUAGUGUUUGUUGUAGUCAAUUUAUUAAUAACAAAAAAACUUUUAAACUAAUGCAACACAUAUAACAAUGUCACAAAAUAUUCAAAUAAAUACAUUUCUUAAUGCAUAACUGAUUUUGGAUCUGAUCUUUCAAGAAGUGAAAGUCUGUCCAUCCUCUCACUGAUCGAAUCGAUCGAUUCGGGACCUUGUGAAUCUGAAUCGAAGCCCAACUCGUCUCCACCAAACGCGAGCUCAAUAAUGGCCACAGUGAGCGUGUGAGCAACUAUUUGCCUGCGCUACUGUGCAUGUAUGAAGUGGACCGACUUGUGAUCAGGCACACAUGAGGCCGACCGGCUGAGAAUACUGAAAUCAAAGGAAAUGAAACUCUUCUGUCUGGUGAAAUGUUAUACUUACCAAAUCAUGCUCCCUGGCCUUAUAUCCUUUGCAGGUGGAACUGGACCCAGUUGUGAAAACCAAUGAUUUCGUUCCUGAUUUUGUCUGGCCAACAAAGAGUCCAGGCUGGUGAUGAUCAAUUUAAGAACAGAAACACACACUUCUUACCAAAGAAAUGAAUAUUAUUUUACAGUGUUGCUGAAUCACAUGGACGAAUUUAACACCUGGACACAGUUAUAGCGUGAUGACUGGCAGGAGGAGAUCUCACCCUGUGUUUCUCUGCCUGUGGUAGAGGUGGAACCAGAUCAAGUGGCGCAGAUUCUUGAACAGCCUCAAGUCAGAGCUGGAUUGACCUUUUGUCACCAGGUACUGAUGAGCCCGCUGUGGAGAAACAUCACUGAUGAUGUUCAUGAAUCCCCAGCUGACUCUGGUAACCUUAAUACAGCACAGAAAAAAUGUCACCAUAAUAAUUUUAUGUUGUUAUUAUUGUGAUAAUAACAUAAACAGAUGAAUCAAUGUCAUUAUCUUUGAUGUUUUACACUUAACAUAAUUAAAAAAAACAUGAGUAUAAAAGGUGUUAAAACUCUGAUGCCAUCUUGGAAUACUGCACUUUGCUCAUGUCAUUACAGCAUUUCUCUCUUUCUAAUCAUACAUCUAGAUGUUAUGUCAACACACAUUUAAUCUACAUUAUAAGAGUGCCUUUGUGAUAAAUGUGUCUUUCAUUCUUGAAUUAAAUGGUUAAAUAUUUAAUCUAACUAAACCCUAAAGAUGGAGUCAGAAGACAACAGUCACCUGAAGGGGCUGAAAAUUGUAAAGACCCU